Molecule: non-coding RNA, 979 nt
Organism: Peromyscus maniculatus bairdii (prairie deer mouse)
Lineage: Eukaryota; Metazoa; Chordata; Mammalia; Rodentia; Cricetidae
Source: RefSeq, a predicted model, not a curated record
CUCAAUGGAUGUAUUAGAGAUCCACAUGCAGAAGAAUGGAGUGAAUCCUCUACCUCGAAACUUGCACAAAAGUUAAAUCACAAGGAAGCAAAGAUCUAAAAGUAAAAGGGAAAACUGUUAAAUAUUUCUUUAAAAUAUAAAUGACAAAUACUCCUGAUAUUAAGUUAGGCAGUAGUUCCUUAGAAAUGACCCCAAAGCACAAAUAAAAACAAUGAAAUCCAUAAAUGGACAUCCUCCAAUGUAUAGGCGACCACGAAAAUGAAAAGGUAAUCCACAGGGUAGGAGGGAACUUUGGGAAAUUAUGUCCUUGUUAGAACGAGUUCGUGCAGUUCAAUAACGGAAAACGACAAACGGCUCAGCUGAAGUAUGAGCAAAGGGUCUGAGUAGACCCCGACCCAGAGAAGACAGGCACAUGGCCGAGGAGAUCCGACACCAGGAGACGGUACCACUGCCCCAGGAGACUGCGCUCAGGCCAACAAGAUGGCGACUGGCAUUGCCGCAGAUGUGGAGAGCCGGGAAGCCUCCUGCUACUGUGACAGGCAGCGUUCCAGCUGCUUUCCCUCGGCCAUGCUCUCAAAAAGGAAGACAUGGAGUCUACCAGCAAUGCCACUUCUAGGUUACAGUGUGCAAUCCCGAGCACCUACCAAGCAGCAUCCUUAGGGUGACAGCAAGUGCUGGGGCCGAAAAGUCCUAGGAACUGGGUGUGAAGAGUGGCCCUCAGACUCACACUUCCCAUCGAGAGGACCUGGUGGCUUUCCUGUUCAUCUUCUGCGGCAUCCUGUUCAUGUCCUCUUACCACAAAGUUGAUAGAUCCAAUCAGUACAGGACUGAAAAUGCCCUUUGACUGACCCAAAGAUGUCUGAAACCACCAACGCCUCCUGGCUUUGCUCUUUAGAGUCUAUCUGAGUCUUCUGAUACAGUUUUAUAUUUUGCUGCAACGAAUGUUGGUAUCCUCCAUAAAUUAUACCCUGAAAGGUAA